This 433-nucleotide ribosomal RNA is filed under the name uncultured bacterium. Its description in RNAcentral is "partial 16S ribosomal RNA". It matches the Rfam family "Bacterial small subunit ribosomal RNA", at positions 29 to 507 of the family's 1533-position model. The record is from RNAcentral.
AACGAACGCUGGCGGCAUGCCUAACACAUGCAAGUCGAACGAAACGUCCGGGUUUAGUUGCGCACGGCUGGUUAACGCGUGGGGAUCUGCCCUUGAGUACGGAAUAACUGUUGGAAACGACUGCUAAUAACGGUGGGUGACUUAAGUCCAAAGAUUUAUCGCCCAAGGAUGAGCGCGCGUAGGAUUAGCCAGUUGGUGAGGUAAUGGCUCGCCAAGGAGAGGAUCCUUAGCUGGUCUGGGAGGAUGAGCAGCCACACUGGGAAUGAGACACGGCCCAGACUCCGACGGGAGGAAGCAGGGGGGAAUAUUGGACAAGGGGCGAAGGCCUGGUGAAGCAGUGCCGCGGGAGGGAUGAAGCCCUUAGGGCUGUAAAGCUCUCUUAGCCGGGAUGAUAGUGACGGUACCGGGAGAAGAAGCUCCGGCUAACUACGUG